RNAcentral lists this ribosomal RNA (408 nucleotides) under uncultured bacterium. RNAcentral describes it as "partial 16S ribosomal RNA". It matches the Rfam family "Bacterial small subunit ribosomal RNA", at positions 28 to 526 of the family's 1533-position model. The record is from RNAcentral.
GACGAACGCUGGCGGCGUGCUUAACACAUGCAAGUCGAACGGAGUGGCGAACGGGUGAGUAACACGUGGGUGAUCUGCCUUGCACUUCGGGAUAAGCUUGGGAAACUGGGUCUAAUACCGGAUAGUGCAAGAUGAGCUCGCGGCCGAUCAGCUUGUUGGUGGGGUAAUGGCCUACCAAGGCGUCGACGGGUAGCCGGCCUGGGAGGGUGUACGGCAGCAUUGGGACUGUGAUACGGCCCAUGCUCCUACGGGAGGCAGCAGUGGGGAAUAUUGCCCAAUAGGCGGAAGCAUGAUGCAGCGGCGCCGCGUGUGGGAUGAAGGCCUUCGGGUUGUGAACGCCUUUCGACAGGGACGCGGUACCUGGAUAAGAAGCACCGGCUAACUACGUGCCAGCAGCCGCGGUAAUUC